This 1224-nucleotide ribosomal RNA is filed under the name metagenome. RNAcentral describes it as "SSU rRNA". It matches the Rfam family "Eukaryotic small subunit ribosomal RNA", at positions 493 to 1774 of the family's 1831-position model. The record is from RNAcentral.
CUCAUGGUUUCACGGUAUUGCAAUGAGAACAAUUUAAAACCCUUAGCGAGAAUCAAGUGGAGGACAAGUCUGGUGCCAGCACCCGCGGUAAUUCCAGCUCCACUAGCGUAUAUUAAAGUUGUUGCAGUUAAAAAGCUCGUAGUUGAACCUCUGUCUGGGGCUAGUUUUGGCUUUGGUCAGGCUAGUUCUAGGCAUCCGCCUACAAGACUUAGAGGGCAUUCAGUUGUUCACUAGGAGGAGUAGGCAUUUUACUUUGAAAAAAUUAGAGUGUUUAAGGCAGGCAAUCGCCCGCAUAUAUUAGCAUGGAAUAAUAGAAUAGGACACUUUUCCAUUUCGUUGGUUAUUGGAAUCGUGUAAUGAUUAAUAGGGACAGUUGUGGGCAUUUGUAUUUAAUUGUCAGAGGUGAAAUUCUUGGAUUUAUUAAAGACAAACUAACGCGAAAGCAUUUGCCAAGGAUGUUUUCAUUAAUCAAGAACGAAAGUUAGGGGUUCAAAGACGAUCAGAUACCGUCCUAGUCUUAACUAUAAACUAUUCCGACUCAAUGUUUGACUGGCUUAUAUAACCAGUUGAGCGUUGUAUGAGAAAUCAAAGUCUUUAGGUUCUGGGGGGAGUAUGGUUGCAAAGCUGAAACUUAAAGGAAUUGACGGAAGAGCACAACCAGGAGUGGAUUCUGCGGCUUAAUUUGACUCAACACGGGGAAACUUACCAGGUUAAAACAAUAGUGGGAUUGACAGUUUGAGAGCGCUUUCCUGAUUGGUUGGGUGGUGGUGCAUGGCCGCUCUUAGUUGGUGGAGUGAUUUGUCUGCUUAAUUGCGUUAACGAACGAGACCUUAACCUGCUUACUAGACUGGCGAUCAUCAAUCGUUAGCUCUUCUUAGAGGGACUUUGGUUGUUUUAACUCCAAGGAAGUUUGAGGCAAUAACAGGUCUGUGAUGCCCUUAGAUAUCCUGGGCCGCACGCGUCAUACAAUGACUAGUUCAGAAAGUUUUCUCCUGACCCGAAAGGGGAUGGGUAAUCUUGAUAAUACUAGUCGUGUUAGGGAUCGAUCUUUGCAAUUAUAGAUCUUGAACGAGGAAUUCCUAGUAAGUGCGGUUCAUCAGACCGUACUGAUUACGUCCCUGCUCUUUGUACACACCGCCCGUCGCUUCUACCGAGUGGGUGGUCCGGUGAGAUAAUUGAACUUCGCAGGUAACUGAGAGGAAAGAUUAUCAAACCUAUCCACCU